RNAcentral lists this long non-coding RNA (1762 nucleotides) under Mytilus galloprovincialis (Mediterranean mussel). Lineage: Eukaryota; Metazoa; Mollusca; Bivalvia; Mytilida; Mytilidae. The record is from RNAcentral.
GCGGUAUGUUGACCUAUAGUUAUUAAUUUCUGUGCCAUUUUUGGUCGUUUGUGAAGAGUUGAUGCAUUGGCAAUCAUACCAUUUCUUCUUUUUUCUAUAUUUGCCUUGUGAACUAGCACGCUUAAUAAACUGACCCAGUGCGUCAUUGUAGUACAAAGUUUUGAAAAUUUUCAAAUCUCAUAUAUCAAUUUGCCGUCAUAAGACGGCAUGCUGGACUCAUUCGUAUCUUGGACUGUUCGCAUUCGGGAUGCAAUCUGGACUCAAUCGGCAAAAAAACAGCAAUGGUAAAUCUUUCUAGAUCAUGCCCGUUCCACAUGACACUGUCCAGAAAAUAGUUAUCAAAGACACAAGGAUUAUAGUUUUUUAAGGCAGACGCGCGUUUCGUCUACAUAAGACUGAUCAGUGACGUUCAGUUCCAAAUAGUUAUAAAGCCAAACAAGUACAAAGAAGAAGAGCAUUGAGGACCAACAAUUCCAAAAAGUUGUGCCAAAUACGGCUAAGGUGAUCAAUUCCUGGGAUAAUGAAAUUCUUAGUCACAGAUCAAUUGUUACGAUUUUGAUCAUCGCGAUACUAAGGAAUUUGUCACGACAUAAUAACGAUUGUAAUUCGACUAGACAAAAUUGAUUGAGACUUCCCGAAUGUUAAGGGACGCACCUUACUGUCGGGGUGCUUGUCCAAACUCUCCGAUCCGUAGGAGUCCGAGUGUUACGAACGUAUACUACAGCGUUCAGGCAAUAACAGGACAUUCCAUAUCAUUGAGGAUAGUAAUCCGACUUUUUAACUUUUCGAGUCUUAAGCGCAGUCUGAUCUCAAACGGGAGCAAUAAUCGCCACUGUGUAAACCCCGCUUUAAAGAUCAUAGAACGAUUCUAGCACGCUCAUGCCGUCCUAAUCACGCACGUCUUACGACCUUACUACGUUUCAUAUUACGACCAUUUUUACUUAUAGCCAUGCUCGGGCUCAUUCUCAUUGUCAAAUAAAGCAUGUAAAAGCUCUCCAGGUUUUAUUCGUCUGUAUAUAUAAUUUGGACCUAAUGUCGCUAGUCUCCAACAGCUCAGCCAUGCUUGACACAUUUGUAUCAUCCCACUAUUAAUUGUUCAAUAAAAUAUCUUCAUUUGAUCUUGAUAGAUCAGCAAUAUACGUUGUGAUAGGUUAAUCCGACAUCUCAUCUGGAUCAGGAUUCGUAUCAGAGGCCCCACUGACUCUACCUCUAUCCAUAUCAUGCACAAAUACAAAAUAUUGUAGAUUUUGGUGGCCUGUCUGUGUUGUUAUCGAGAAUUUUACGUAUAAAUGAAAAUAAGGAGGAAUGGAACAGUAUUUAUAUUGACUCCGACAACAUGAUAUUGACGUUAUUAUAUUACCGAGAGCGUAGUAAAAUCGCCAUAUGAACAUGGUAAGAUCGUAGAAUGAUCGUGAUAAAAUCGUUCUUUAAUCGCAGAAGAAACGUGCUAAGAUCGUUUUUUAAUCGGAUAAAGUGUGAUAUAAUCGUAGUAAGAACGUGAUGAGCGUAGCAAGAUCGUGAUUAUCGUAGUGAGGUCGCAGAACAAGCGUGGUGAAAACGGGGUAUACUCUUGGCGGAAUCGUUGUAGAAAAGUAAUGAAGGUCGUAGUAGCAUCGUGAACUCAUCCAAAAUUUACAUUUUCAUGCCGCCCAUACCGCGACCUCAACACGAUCUGAAUACUUUUUAGAUCGUGCUGAGCGUGGUGCGAUCGUGGUCUAGUGUGACUUGUUCAUAAAAUAACAGCGGGCAAGCUGAAGAGAUG